RNAcentral lists this ribosomal RNA (614 nucleotides) under uncultured bacterium. RNAcentral describes it as "bacterial SSU rRNA". It matches the Rfam family "Bacterial small subunit ribosomal RNA", at positions 338 to 951 of the family's 1533-position model. The record is from RNAcentral.
CCUACGGGAGGCAGCAGUAAGGAAUAUUGGUCAAUGGAGGCAACUCUGAACCAGCCAUGCCGCGUGCAGGAUGACGGCCCUAUGGGUUGUAAACUGCUUUUAUACAAGAGAAAACCCUGGUACGUGUACCAGGUUGAUAGUAUUGUAAGAAUAAGCAUCGGCUAACUUCGUGCCAGCAGCCGCGGUAAGACGAAGGAUGCAAGCGUUAUCCGGAUUCAUUGGGUUUAAAGGGUGCGUAGGCGGACUGAUAAGUCAGUGGUGAAAUCUCUUUGCUUAACAAAGAAACUGCCAUUGAUACUGUCGGUCUAGAGUAUAGAUGACGUUGGCGGAAUAUGACAUGUAGUGGUGAAAUACUUAGAUAUGUCAUAGAACACCGAUUGCGAAGGCAGCUAACGGAAACUAUAAACUGACGCUGAGGCACGAAAGUGCGGGGAUCAAACAGGAUUAGAUACCCAGGUAGUCCGCACCGUAAACGAUGAUUACUCGUUGUUGGCGAUAUGACAGUCAGCGACCAAGCGAAAGCGAUAAGUAAUCACCUGGGGAGUACGCCGGCAACGGUGAAACGUCAAAGGAUUGACGGCGNGAGAGNGCGAGGACGACGACGAGGGAGGAGG